UUUACCUAGUUUAAGGAUUAGUACAAAAGGAAACAUUGACAGGGAGCUAGUUUGAAGGUGUUGGAUAUCUUAAAAAAAAAAAAAGGAAAGAGAGUGAGUAGUGAUAAGAGUUUUCAAAAGAAGAAGAAAGAAAUUGAUAGUAGAGAAAAACCUUGAGAAAUAAAACAAGAAUGAUUAGUUGUGAUGGAAAUAGUCUUUUGAUGAAGGGUUUACAUUAGUAGAUAGGAUUGGAUAAAUUACUUAUCUUAUGUCUAGAAUCAAUGAGAGUAUAAUUUAGUUAGAAAACUAUUGAGAAGCUUGGUGAUGGUGUCCAUGGUGGUUGUGAUGGAGAUGUUGAGGAUCAUGAUCUUAGGAUGAUAAAUCUUGCUCAAACAACCAAGUUAGUCUAUAUUAACAACGAUCAAUUCAAAGGAUUAACCGGUGGAUUGAGGAAUACAAGGUAGGCGUGGCUUGUCAUCAAACCAGGUGGGAACUAUGUAACCUACUUGUAAUCAUUAAAUUUACUUUAUCUGCGAGCACGAUGAGUCUUUAAUUUCUGUGAACUUGUUGUUUAUAAUCGAUAGAAUGAGUAUGUUGUGUGAUA
Molecule: long non-coding RNA, 583 nt
Organism: Papaver somniferum (opium poppy)
Lineage: Eukaryota; Viridiplantae; Streptophyta; Magnoliopsida; Ranunculales; Papaveraceae
Exons: 2
Source: RefSeq, a predicted model, not a curated record